This is a long non-coding RNA of Sebastes umbrosus (honeycomb rockfish), 371 nucleotides long. RefSeq lists it as uncharacterized. The transcript is spliced from 3 exons. NCBI's taxonomy places the organism in Eukaryota, Metazoa, Chordata, Actinopteri, Perciformes, Sebastidae. The record is from RefSeq and is a predicted model, not a curated record.
CAAUAAAAUCAAUAAAUAAAUAAAACCAAGUAAUAAGAACAGGUCAGUGGCACUGGCUGGGUUAGGUUUGGGUUAUGGUUGGGGUUGAUAGAUCCGGUGGAGGUUUAUUUGCACUGGCCUAAAGAUCUGUAUGUAAGUGUGUGUGGCUGUAUGAUGCUGUGUGUGUGAGCUGGUUCCUGUUCCUGUCGGGAUGGAUGGGUGAGGUGGCUGGAGCAGCUCUCUGCCCCGGGAGACCCGGGUUCGACUCCCAGAUGAGGCGGAGGACCAGGAUGUGGUUAGGGUUUAGGGUUGGGGUUAGGGUUAGGGUUAGGGUUAGGGUUAGAGGGUUAGGGUUAGGGUUAGGGUUAGGGUUAGGGUUUAGGGUUAGGGUU